RNAcentral lists this ribosomal RNA (235 nucleotides) under Escherichia coli. RNAcentral's name for it is "partial 16S ribosomal RNA". It matches the Rfam family "Bacterial small subunit ribosomal RNA", at positions 113 to 351 of the family's 1533-position model. Lineage: Bacteria; Pseudomonadati; Pseudomonadota; Gammaproteobacteria; Enterobacterales; Enterobacteriaceae. The record is from RNAcentral.
AUGUCUGGGAAACUGCCUGAUGGAGGGGGAUAACUACUGGAAACGGUAGCUAAUACCGCAUAACGUCGCAAGACCAAAGAGGGGGACCUUAGGGCCUCUUGCCAUCGGAUGUGCCCAGAUGGGAUUAGCUAGUAGGUGGGGUAACGGCUCACCUAGGCGACGAUCCCUAGCUGGUCUGAGAGGAUGACCAGCCACACUGGAACUGAGACACGGUCCAGACUCCUACGGGAGGCAG